This 77-nucleotide transfer RNA is filed under the name Moellerella wisconsensis ATCC 35017. Its description in RNAcentral is "tRNA-His". It matches the Rfam family "tRNA". From Rfam's summary of the family: Transfer RNA (tRNA) molecules are approximately 80 nucleotides in length. The record is from RNAcentral. Lineage: Bacteria; Pseudomonadati; Pseudomonadota; Gammaproteobacteria; Enterobacterales; Morganellaceae. RNAcentral also lists the same sequence under 1 other name.
GGUGGCUAUAGCUCAGUUGGUAGAGCCCUGGAUUGUGAUUCCAGUUGUCGUGGGUUCGAGCCCCAUUAGCCACCCCA